Lathyrus oleraceus (garden pea) is the source of this 547-nucleotide long non-coding RNA. RefSeq lists it as uncharacterized. The transcript is spliced from 3 exons. NCBI's taxonomy places the organism in Eukaryota, Viridiplantae, Streptophyta, Magnoliopsida, Fabales, Fabaceae. The record is from RefSeq and is a predicted model, not a curated record.
CCAAUUUCCAAGUUCGUCGAGGUUGAUUAUGAUGAGCAGUGGAAUUCAAAAUACAGUGGGCUUUGGUUGUUUUUUUCUUUCUUGAAAUGGUAAUAUUUUAUAUUAAGGAUGUGAAUAUGUUGGUUUUUAAAUUUUGCAGCAUGCUACUCCAACUACAUCCAAUUUGUGAAUAAGUGUUUCAUAAAGUCACAAUUUUCAGUGUUAAUUUUCUACCAAAAAAUACAAUGGAUUAUGUAAAUAUGUAGCACAAUCACUUCAUAUUGAAGACACGUCCGAUUUCCUACACCGUAUCGGACACCAACACAACACAUGUGAAUGACACAGGGAGACUAUUGUUUAUGCUUAUAGAUCAGGCUACCCAAAGGUGUUUCAAUUCCAGUGACACUAAAGGUUCUGGAGUUUGAACUUUUCUAUUUUUAUACAAUCCAAGAAAUUGCGUCCAGUAUAUCAUUUGUCGCCAUAAGCCUAAUGGAUAUGUUCAACAUAUGAGGAGUUGUGGAAGAGGUCAAAAUUCAGAGACUGAUGCUGGUGUUUGGUGUGAUACAAA